GACGAACGCUGGCGGCGUGCUUAACACAUGCAAGUCGAACGCUGAAGCUUGGUGCUUGCACUGGGUGGAUGAGUGGCGAACGGGUGAGUAAUACGUGAGUAACCUGCCCUUGACUCUGGGAUAAGCCUGGGAAACUGGGUCUAAUACUGGAUACGACAUGUCACCGCAUGGUGGUGUGUGGAAAGGGUUUUACUGGUCUUGGAUGGGCUCACGGCCUAUCAGCUUGUUGGUGGGGUAAUGGCUCACCAAGGCGACGACGGGUAGCCGGCCUGAGAGGGUGACCGGCCACACUGGGACUGAGACACGGCCCAGACUCCUACGGGAGGCAGCAGUGGGGAAUAUUGCACAAUGGGCGGAAGCCUGAUGCAGCGACGCCGCGUGAGGGAUGACGGCCUUCGGGUUGUAAACCUCUUUCAGCACGGAAGAAGCGAAAGUGACGGUACGUGCAGAAGAAGCGCCGGCUAACUACGUG
Molecule: ribosomal RNA, 472 nt
Filed under: uncultured bacterium
Lineage: Bacteria
Description: partial 16S ribosomal RNA
Rfam family: Bacterial small subunit ribosomal RNA
Source: RNAcentral